Molecule: microRNA precursor, 103 nt
Filed under: Marmota monax (woodchuck)
Lineage: Eukaryota; Metazoa; Chordata; Mammalia; Rodentia; Sciuridae
Source: RNAcentral
AGUGGAAUCACUGUGUUAGAUGGUAACUCUAUGUUUAUCUUUCCAAGGAACUACCAGAUUGUCUUCCAAAGAUGCUGUACCAUCUUACAUUUCCACUAGCAAU